AGAGCUGGUCUGAGAGGAUGAUCAGCCACACUGGGACUGAGACACGGCCCAGACUCCUACGGGAGGCAGCAGUGGGGAAUUUUCCGCAAUGGGCCAAAGCCUGACGGAGCAAUACCGCGUGAGGGAGGAAGGCUCUUGGGUUGGUAACCUCUUUUUCUCAAGAAUAAAAUUUGAAGGUACCUUAGGAAUAAGCCUCGGCUAGCUCCGUGCCAGCAGCCCCGGUUAUACAGAAGAUGCAAGCGUU
Molecule: ribosomal RNA, 244 nt
Filed under: Nostoc sp. 2216
Lineage: Bacteria; Bacillati; Cyanobacteriota; Cyanophyceae; Nostocales; Nostocaceae
Description: partial 16S ribosomal RNA
Rfam family: Bacterial small subunit ribosomal RNA
Source: RNAcentral